Molecule: long non-coding RNA, 453 nt
Organism: Carassius gibelio (silver crucian carp)
Lineage: Eukaryota; Metazoa; Chordata; Actinopteri; Cypriniformes; Cyprinidae
Exons: 5
Source: RefSeq, a predicted model, not a curated record
AGGUCUGUUCAUGAUGAACUAGGACGUAAUAAAAGGCGGAAAACUUUGAUCUACCCAGUGCAUUUUUACACUAAAUUGAAAAACAGUGGAUUUUCAGGUGUCGUCAACUGGACAAAACACGAGGACAUUUUCCGAAAGGACUAUCUAUUGAUAGUCGAGAAUGCUCUUGGAAACCACUGGAGACUCAUGAUUGUGUGCUUCCCUGGAAACGAAGAAGUGGAACAUACCAAAAGGGGGCGGAAAUUGGUGCAAAGAAGGAGGCCUUGCAUUUUAAUGCUAGACUCCCAGUCUGAGCAAGUGAGUGACAGCAUGGAUGUGUUUCAAAACAUUCGAAGUUACUUAACAGAAAUGUGGAAAAACACAAGAAAAACACCCCGGAUAUUUUCUGCAGAUUCUAUGCCAGCCCUGAAAUUGAGGGUACCUGAACAGCAAGGAAACACCUCUGAGUGCGGC